GACGAACGCUGGCGGCGUGCUUAACACAUGCAAGUCGAACGGAAAGGCCCUGCUUUUGUGGGGUGCUCGAGUGGCGAACGGGUGAGUAACACGUGAGUAACCUGCCCUUGACUUUGGGAUAACUUCAGGAAACUGGGGCUAAUACCGGAUAGGAGCUCCUGCUGCAUGGUGGGGGUCGGAAAGUUUCGGCGGUUGGGGAUGGACUCGCGGCUUAUCAGCUUGUUGGUGGGGUAGUGGCUUACCAAGGCUUUGACGGGUAGCCGGCCUGAGAGGGUGACCGGCCACAAUGGGACUGAGAUACGGCCCAGACUCCUACGGGAGGCAGCAGUGGAGAAUAUUGCACAAUGGGCGGAAGCCUGAUGCAGCAACGCCGCGUGCGGGAUGACGGCCUUCGGGUUGUAAACCGCUUUCGCCUGUGACGAAGCGUGAGUGACGGUAAUGGGUAAAGAAGCACCGGCUAACUACGUG
RNAcentral lists this ribosomal RNA (468 nucleotides) under uncultured bacterium. RNAcentral's name for it is "partial 16S ribosomal RNA". It matches the Rfam family "Bacterial small subunit ribosomal RNA", at positions 28 to 507 of the family's 1533-position model. The record is from RNAcentral.